Molecule: ribosomal RNA, 253 nt
Filed under: uncultured bacterium
Lineage: Bacteria
Description: partial 16S ribosomal RNA
Rfam family: Bacterial small subunit ribosomal RNA
Source: RNAcentral
UACGAAGGGGGCUAGCGUUGUUCGGAAUUACUGGGCUUAAAGGGCGCGUAGGCGGGUGACCAAGUCAGGGGUGAAAUCUUUCGGCCCAACCGGAAAAGUGCCUCUGAUACUGGUCGUCUUGAGGGAGGUAGGGGUCGAGGGAACUGGUGGUGGAGCGGUGAAAUGCGUAGAUAUCACUAGGAACGCCGGUGGCGAAAGCGCUCGACUGGACCUCUUCUGACGCUGAGGCGCGAAAGCCAGGGGAGCAAACGGG